Ipomoea nil (Japanese morning glory) is the source of this 71-nucleotide transfer RNA. It matches the Rfam family "tRNA". From Rfam's summary of the family: Transfer RNA (tRNA) molecules are approximately 80 nucleotides in length. Their secondary structure includes four short double-helical elements and three loops (D, anti-codon, and T loops). Lineage: Eukaryota; Viridiplantae; Streptophyta; Magnoliopsida; Solanales; Convolvulaceae. The record is from Rfam.
GUCGUUGUAGUAUAGUGGUGAGUAUCCCCGCCUGUCACGCGGAGACCCGGGUUCGAUCCCCGGCAACGGCG